GGGCUCGACAGGGAUUUGAACCCGGGACCUCUCACACCCGAAUCCAGAAUCAUACCACUAGACCAUCGAGCC
This 72-nucleotide transfer RNA is filed under the name Araneus ventricosus. RNAcentral describes it as "tRNA-Pro". Lineage: Eukaryota; Metazoa; Arthropoda; Arachnida; Araneae; Araneidae. The record is from RNAcentral.